Molecule: ribosomal RNA, 443 nt
Filed under: uncultured bacterium
Lineage: Bacteria
Description: partial 16S ribosomal RNA
Rfam family: Bacterial small subunit ribosomal RNA
Source: RNAcentral
CCUACGGGAGGCAGCAGUGGGGAAUAUUGGACAAUGGGGGGAACCCUGAUCCAGCGACGCCGCGUGAGUGAAGAAGUAUUUCGGUAUGUAAAGCUCUAUCAGCAGGGAAGAAAGAAAUGACGGUACCUGACUAAGAAGCCCCGGCUAACUACGUGCCAGCAGCCACGGUAAUACGUCGGGGGCAAGUGUUAUCCGGAUUUACUGGGUGUAAAGGGAGCGUAGACGGCGAUGCAAGUCUGAAGUGAAAGGCGGGGGCCCAACCCCCGGACUGCUUUGGAAACUGUAUGGCUGGAGUGCAGGGGAGGUAAGUGGAAUUCCUAGUGUAGCGGUGAAAUGCGUAGAUAUUAGGAGGAACACCAGUGGCGAAGGCGGCUUACUGGACUGUAACUGACGUUGAGGCUCGAAAGCGUGGGGAGCAAACAGGAUUAGAUACCCGGGUAGUC